AAACAGAGAAGUGCUUUAGCAAUAAAGAACCCGGUGACAGGUGCUGCAUGGCUGUCGUCAGCUCGUGUCGUGAGAUGUUGGGUUAAGUCCCGCAACGAGCGCAACCCUUGCCCUUAGUUGCCAGCGGGUAAUGCCGGGCACUCUAAGGGGACUGCCCCGGAUAACGGGGAGGAAGGCGGGAUGACGUCAAGUCAGCAUGGCCUUUAUGUCCAGGGCUACACACGUGCUACAAUGGGCGGUACAGAGGGAAGCAAAGCCGCGAGGUGGAGCUAAUCCUUAAAGCCGUCCUCAGUUCGGAUCGCAGGCUGCAACUCGCCUGCGUGAAGUCGGAAUCGCUAGUAAUCGCGGAUCAGCUACGCCGCGGUGAAUACGUUCUCGGGCCUU
RNAcentral lists this ribosomal RNA (384 nucleotides) under uncultured Aminicenantes bacterium. RNAcentral's name for it is "bacterial SSU rRNA". It matches the Rfam family "Bacterial small subunit ribosomal RNA", at positions 1004 to 1382 of the family's 1533-position model. Lineage: Bacteria; Candidatus Aminicenantota. The record is from RNAcentral.